Molecule: ribosomal RNA, 492 nt
Filed under: uncultured bacterium
Lineage: Bacteria
Description: partial 16S ribosomal RNA
Rfam family: Bacterial small subunit ribosomal RNA
Source: RNAcentral
GAUGAACGCUAGCUACAGGCUUAACACAUGCAAGUCGAGGGGAAACGGCAUUGAGUGCUUGCACUCUUUGGACGUCGACCGGCGCACGGGUGAGUAACGCGUAUCCAACCUUCCCAUUACUGUGGGAUAACCUGCCGAAAGGCAGACUAAUACCGCAUAGUCUUCGAUGACGGCAUCAGAUUUGAAGUAAAGAUUUAUCGGUAAUGGAUGGGGAUGCGUCUGAUUAGCUUGUUGGCGGGGUAACGGCCCACCAAGGCUACGAUCAGUAGGGGUUCUGAGAGGAAGGUCCCCCACAUUGGAACUGAGACACGGGCCAAACUCCUACGGGAGGCAGCAGUGAGGAAUAUUGGUCAAUGGACGGAAGUCUGAACCAGCCAAGUAGCGUGCAGGAUGACGGCCCUAUGGGUUGUAAACUGCUUUUGUAUGGGGAUAAAGUUAGGGACGGGUCCCUAUUUGCAGGUACCAUACGAAUAAGGACCGGCUAAUUCCGUG